RNAcentral lists this long non-coding RNA (331 nucleotides) under Olea europaea subsp. europaea. The record is from RNAcentral. Lineage: Eukaryota; Viridiplantae; Streptophyta; Magnoliopsida; Lamiales; Oleaceae.
CUCUCAACAACUCUGCAUAAAUCUGGCUUCAUCCAUUUGGGAUGUAAUCCUCUACUAAAUUGAAACGAAAUAAUCAAAUUUCCAGGUGCACAAUUAUGCUAAAACAGUUCCAGUUUCUCAACAGAAAGAAUAAAAAGAAUGUCCAGUUAUAUCAACAACAAACAACAUCAGUAAACAAACAAGUUGAAUGACAAAACCUUACAUCUUACUCCAUCUUUAACCACUUGAUCUAAAAAGCAUCUCAUUCCACCUGUAUAUCUACCUCAGAAUUCUGUACACAAUUUUGUAAAGUAUAUUUAUACACAUUCAUAAUGUUUUGUAACAACGGGUU